ACAAGCCUGAGAAACGGCUAGUAGGAUAAGGUCUGCAGCAGGCGCGAAACUUACACAAUGCUAGAUUUCGAUUAGCGAUGUAGUGAAGAAAAAUAACGAUGUGCUUCCUUUUAAACAAGGUUGCACAAUUGGAAUGAGACGACUUUAAAACAGUCAGUCGAGUAACAAAUGGAGGGCAAGUCUGGUGCCAGCAGCCGCGGUAAUUCCAGCUCCAUUAGCAUACAUUAAAGUUGUUGCGGUUAAAAAGCUCGUAGUUGAAUGUCUGGCGGGCUCUUGGGUGGGUGGUGCGUUAAGGCUGACUUCGGUUGGCUGCGCCUCCUUUACCCUCUUGGCCCGUUGUUUCGUCACUUAAUUGAGUGCGAAGCGUGUCGAUGGAGUAGGGAGUUUACUCUUCCAACGCCACUGGCAAGUUUACCUUGAGAAAAUUAGAGUGCUCAGCGCAGGCAGUCGGGGUGUAAAAGCUCCUUUAUGCUUGAAUAAUGUUGCAUGGAAUAAUAGAAUACGGCCUCGGUUCUAUUCUGUUGGUCUUAUAGAACAACAAACAAGUUGGUGCGGGCGAUCAAUGCAAGUGUCCGGUGUGGUUCAUUCGGAAUUCGUGCUGUCUGUGACCUCAAAAUCACAGUACCUCAUUUCCGGUUUGCCAUCAAAGCACCUCUCAUGAGCAUGCCCACACACCAACUGAGGCAAUGGUUAAAAGAAAUAGUCGCGGCGGCAUCAGUACUGCAUCGUGAGAG
This 734-nucleotide ribosomal RNA is filed under the name Aceria sp. 18sr15. RNAcentral's name for it is "partial 18S ribosomal RNA". It matches the Rfam family "Eukaryotic small subunit ribosomal RNA", at positions 389 to 910 of the family's 1831-position model. The record is from RNAcentral. Lineage: Eukaryota; Metazoa; Arthropoda; Arachnida; Trombidiformes; Eriophyidae.